AUUGAACGCUGGCGGCAUGCUUUACACAUGCAAGUCGAACGGUAACAGGUUAAGCUGACGAGUGGCGAACGGGUGAGUAAUGCAUCGGAACGUGCCCGAUCGUGGGGGAUAACGCAGCGAAAGCUGCGCUAAUACCGCAUACGAUCUGAGGAUGAAAGCGGGGGACCGUAAGGCCUCGCGCGAUCGGAGCGGCCGAUGUCAGAUUGGGUAGUUGGUGGGGUAAAGGCUCACCAAGCGAACCAUCUGUAGGUGGUCUGAGAGGACGACCAGGCACACUGGGACUGAGACACGGCCCAGACUGGUGCGGGAGGCAGCGGAGGGGAAUUUUGGACAAUGGGCGAAAGCCUGGUCCAGCAAUGCCGCGUGCAGGAAGAAGGCCUUCGGGUUGUAAACUGCUUUUGUACGGGGCGAAAAGGCUCUCUCUAAUACAGGGGGCUCAUGACGGUACCGUAAGAAUAAGCACCGGCUAACUACGUGCCAGCAGCCGCCGUAA
RNAcentral lists this ribosomal RNA (493 nucleotides) under uncultured bacterium. RNAcentral describes it as "partial 16S ribosomal RNA". It matches the Rfam family "Bacterial small subunit ribosomal RNA", at positions 29 to 523 of the family's 1533-position model. The record is from RNAcentral.